This 498-nucleotide long non-coding RNA is filed under the name Sus scrofa (pig). RNAcentral describes it as "lncRNA (ENSSSCG00035039956.1, ENSSSCG00065061979.1)". The record is from RNAcentral. Lineage: Eukaryota; Metazoa; Chordata; Mammalia; Artiodactyla; Suidae.
GCAGGAGUAUGAAUGGAUGGGUGGUGUAUGGAGGGGUGGAUGCGGUGUGGGUGAUGGGUGGUGGGCGGAUGAAGGCAGGCUGUUUCACAGGGCUCCUUUUGGAAAAUGCUUUUUCCCUUUUUCUCAUUUCUUAAGAACUAGGCUUUGGUUGGAAACCACUGGAGCAGGGUGCUGAGUGCUUGCUGUCUUUUAGCCUCGCUCAGCUGAGGUUUCUGAGCUGUGAGAAAAGCACAUCUCCCAGCGGGGGAACCAGAGCUGGCAGACCAUGGAUCUCAUUGUCACACUAAAGCAGAUCUCAGCAAAGUCCUUUUGGAAAAUUCCAGGCUGGCUCAGCUGCGCUGAGAACAGAGCGAGUUUCAGAGGCUGGUGUCUGAGCUGCCGCUGUGAUCAGAGCACUGAGAGUCCCGGGCGGGAGGCAGGUGGGUGGCAGACAAAGGAGGCACUGGGGCGGGUGGGGACAGACAUGGGGUCCCCUCCUGGCUGCCUCCUAGGGCUCCU